Molecule: ribosomal RNA, 400 nt
Filed under: uncultured Alphaproteobacteria bacterium
Lineage: Bacteria; Pseudomonadati; Pseudomonadota; Alphaproteobacteria
Description: bacterial SSU rRNA
Rfam family: Bacterial small subunit ribosomal RNA
Source: RNAcentral
GAGUUGAUCAUGGCUCAGAGCGAACGCUGGCGGCAGGCCUAACACAUGCAAGUCGAGCGCCCAGCAAUGGGAGCGGCAGACGGGAGAGUAACACGUGGGAACGUGCCCUUCAGUUCGGAACAACCAAGGGAAACUUUGGCUAAUACCGGAUACGCCCUUACGGGGAAAGAUUUAUCGCUGAAGGAUCGGCCCGCGUCUGAUUAGCUAGUUGGUGGGGUAAUGGCCCACCAAGGCUACGAUCAGUAGCUGGUCUGAGAGGAUGAUCAGCCUCACUGGGACUGAGACACGGCCCAGACUCCUACGGGAGGCAGCAGUGGGGAAUAUUGGACAAUGGGCGCAAGCCUGAUCCAGCCAUGCCGCGUGGAUGAUGAAGGCCCUAGGGUUGUAAAGUCCUUUUAAC